AACGUACGCUGGCGGCACGCCUAACACAUGCAAGUCGAACGAAGUAGCAAUACUUAGUGGCAGACGGGUGAGUAACAUGUAGGUAUCUGCCCUUUGGCCUGGAAUAACACGAGGAAACUUGUGCUAAUACCGGAUAAGUCUUUACGGAGAAAGCUUUAUGCACCAUUGGAUGAGCCUGCACUUGAUUAGUUUGUUGGUGGGGUAAUGGCCUACCAAGACUGUGAUCAAUAACUGAUUUGAGAGGAUGAUCAGCCACAUUGGGACUGAGACACGGCCCAAACUCCUACGGGAGGCAGCAGUGGGGAAUCUUGCACAAUGGAGGAAACUCUGAUGCAGCGAUGCCGCGUGAGUGAAGAAGGCCCUUGGGUUGUAAAGCUCUUUCGUCGGGGAAGAAAAUGACUGUACCCGAAUAAGAAGGUCCGGCUAACUUCGUGCCAGCAGCCGCGGUAAUACGAAGGGACCUAGCGUAGUUCGGAAUUACUGGGCUUAAAGAGUUCGUAGGUGGUUGAAAAAGUUAGUGGUGAAAUCCCAGAGCUUAACUCUGGAACUGCCAUUAAAACUUUUCAGCUAGAGUAUGAUAGAGGAAAGCAGAAUUUCUAGUGUAGAGGUGAAAUUCGUAGAUAUUAGAAAGAAUACCAAUUGCGAAGGCAGCUUUCUGGAUCAUUACUGACACUGAGGAACGAAAGCAUGGGUAGCGAAGAGGAUUAGAUACCCUCGUAGUCCAUGCCGUAAACGAUGUGUGUUAGACGUUGGAAAUUUAUUUUCAGUGUCGCAGGGAAACCGAUAAACACACCGCCUGGGGAGUACGACCGCAAGGUUAAAACUCAAAUGAAUUGACGGGGACCCGCACAAGUAGUGGAGCAUGUGGUUUAAUUCGAAGAUACGCGCAGAACCUUACCAACACUUGACAUGUUCGUCGCGACUCUAAGAGAUUAGAGUUUUCGGUUCGGCCGGACGAAACACAGGUGCUGCAUGGCUGUCGUCAGCUCGUGUCGUGAGAUGUUGGGUUAAGUCCCGCAACGAGCGCAACCCUCACUUUUAGUUCCCAUCAUUAAGUUGGGCACUCUGAAAGAACUGCCAGUGAUAAGCUGGAGGAAGGUGGGGAUGACGUCAAGUCCUCAUGGCCCUUACGUGUUGGGCUACACACGUGCUACAAUGGUAUCUACAACAGGAAGCAAGACUGCGAAGUUAAGCAAAUCCCUAAAAGAUACCUCAGUUCGGAUUGCACUCUGCAACUCGAGUGCAUGAAGCUGGAAUUACUAGUAAUCGUGGAUCAGCGUGCCACGGUGAAUGCGUUCCCGGGUCU
RNAcentral lists this ribosomal RNA (1306 nucleotides) under uncultured bacterium. Its description in RNAcentral is "bacterial SSU rRNA". It matches the Rfam family "Bacterial small subunit ribosomal RNA", at positions 28 to 1381 of the family's 1533-position model. The record is from RNAcentral.